This 467-nucleotide ribosomal RNA is filed under the name uncultured bacterium. RNAcentral describes it as "partial 16S ribosomal RNA". It matches the Rfam family "Bacterial small subunit ribosomal RNA", at positions 28 to 506 of the family's 1533-position model. The record is from RNAcentral.
GACGAACGCUGGCGGCGUGCUUAACACAUGCAAGUCGAACGGAAAGGCCCUGCUUUUGUGGGGUGCUCGAGUGGCGAACGGGUGAGUAACACGUGAGUAACCUGCCCUUGACUUUGGGAUAACUUCAGGAAACUGGGGCUAAUACCGGAUAGGAGCUCCUGCUGCAUGGUGGGGGUUGGAAAGUUUCGGCGGUUGGGGAUGGACUCGCGGCUUAUCAGCUUGUUGGUGGGGUAGUGGCUUACCAAGGCUUUGACGGGUAGCCGGCCUGAGAGGGUGACCGGCAAAAUGGGGAAGGGGAAAGGGCCCAAACCCCAAGGGGGGGGAGGGGGGGGGAAAUUUGAAAAAGGGGGGGAAGCCGGAGGAAGAAAACCGGGGGGGGGGAGGAGGGCCUUGGGGUUGAAAACCGCUUUGGCCGGGGACGAAGGGGGGGGGAGGGGAAGGGGUAAAGAAGCACCGGCUAAAUAAGG